AGCUUCGUCAACUCGUCGUCGUUCCUCACCGCCAGCUGGAUGUGGCGGGGCACGAUCCGAGUCUUCUUGUUGUCCCGCGCAGCGUUGCCUGCCAACUCCAACACCUGCCCAGAUCAAAUCAGUCGGUCAUAAAAAAGAGAUUUUUGGGUAAGAAAUCAUGGAGAAGAGAGGGUUUUAAGUGCUCGACUACGUAUUAACCGCUCAACUUUGACCUAAAUUUUCAUGCCAUAAUGAUCGAUGAACUUAAUUUACUUCAGACGAAAUCAACUCCCAGCAGAGGAACUUUUCCCCUUUCGAACCCUAAACAAAGCGACCCAAGAUUGAAUGACGAGAGGAAGAAGAAGGAACGAACCUCAGCAGCAAGGUACUCGAGUACGGCGGCAAGGUAGACCGGGGCGCCGGCACCGACCCGCUCGGCGUACUUGCCGGCCUUCAAGAACCGCGCGAUCCGGCCAACCGGGAACUGGAGACCGGCCUUGCUACUCCUCGACGCCCCCUUCUUCCCGGCCGCCGACGCCAGCGUCUUCCCUCUCCCCGCCAUUGCUCUCCGCAGCUUCCCGAGAAGAAAGAACGAUCCCGACGACGAGUAAAGAAGCGAUCGCGCGAGCUACAGCCGAGCGAGUACGGUGAGAAGUUCCUUCGAUGAGCUCGUCCAUAUAAUGCACCAGACGCGGG
RNAcentral lists this long non-coding RNA (675 nucleotides) under Musa acuminata (dwarf banana). RNAcentral describes it as "long non-coding RNA (MACU_LNC002144)". The record is from RNAcentral. Lineage: Eukaryota; Viridiplantae; Streptophyta; Magnoliopsida; Zingiberales; Musaceae.